Oreochromis niloticus (Nile tilapia) is the source of this 519-nucleotide long non-coding RNA. Lineage: Eukaryota; Metazoa; Chordata; Actinopteri; Cichliformes; Cichlidae. The record is from Ensembl.
AUGAAAUACUCAUUCACAACCGUGCUCCUCUGUGACAGCGUACAUGCACACACGCGCUGUCACACAUACAGUCUGUCCUCGGUAAGUAUGUUGCGGGCUGUGCAGCAAUCCAUCUGCUGCUACCUCUCUGCCUGUCUCUAUCCCCUCGCUGCCCUCUCCCUCCCUUUCCCCUUCCUCUCUGUCCCAUUCAAUCAUUCUCUCAGCUCCCUGGUGUCAUUCGUUCCCCUCCUGCCGACCAAUCACAGCCCCGCUUCCUUAUUCAGCACAGCCCCUCCUCUACACCCCCCUCCUCGCCACCAACACCGUCCCUCGUGUGUUGACGAUGCAGUUUGCCCCAGAGGCUCAUGGGAUGUUCAGGCACACGGUAAGAAGAAGAAGCAUCAUCAUCAGAAAGGACACAUCCACAUCAAAUGUAACGAGGUUCCCCCUGCUCAACAAACUCCACAUAUGAGUGAAACCUGUAGAACUGCAACCAGCUGGAGGGAUUUCCACUUUCCACAGAUCGGGCUGAAUUUAUAA